RNAcentral lists this ribosomal RNA (201 nucleotides) under uncultured bacterium. RNAcentral describes it as "partial 16S ribosomal RNA". It matches the Rfam family "Bacterial small subunit ribosomal RNA", at positions 524 to 724 of the family's 1533-position model. The record is from RNAcentral.
UACGAAGGGGGCUAGCGUUGCUCGGAAUUACUGGGCGUAAAGCGUGCGCAGGCGGCUUUGCAAGACAGAUGUGAAAUCCCCGGGCUCAACCUGGGAACUGCAUCUGUGACUGCAAGGCUAGAGUACGGCAGAGGGGGAUGGAAUUCCGCGUGUAGCAGUGAAAUGCGUAGAUAUGCGGAGGAACACCAAUGGCGAAGGCAA